GGCAGUGGAUUUUUCUCAAAUGUUGAGAUAAUCAUAUAGGCCAGAAUCACUAGCCAAGAAGCACCUAGGCACUGCAUCCCGACCCUCACGGCCACAUCGGCUGCAGAGGUAUGAAGGGCGGUUACUCGGGUUGAAACAGUUACUGAGGAAUAGGAAGGAGGAAUAAAGUGAAAGAUAACAGAGACGGUGGAGACAAUGCCAGUGCUGCAGAGGUCACAAAACAGUAGCCCGAUGUGAGUGCACAUCACAACUCAGCUUAAGUAGAUCAAUUUAUUUAUCAAAACAAGCCGAUUACAUCCUAACUAAUCGACUUGAACACAUGAACCGGACUCUGUAACAGCCUAACAGGGCCCAUCAAUUGGCAUAAACACAUCGAAAGACAGCCAGAGGAGGAACUCUUGCUACAAAACUUGGAAGAUUCAGGUAUUUGACAACUAGGUAGAAGAACUCCUGGCCAUCCCCACCAGUCAGUGCCUCCUCUUCCCUGCCUUGGCCUUCCAGCACAUCCUGCUAGGUGUUCUUGACUUCUAAUCCGGUUACUUCUGGUUGCCUCCUCAACACUCAGCAACAUGAAGGCCAUCAGUGAGUUUAAUUCGGUUGUAUGUGCUCCGACAUUGACAGAAAAACAAGAGAAAGCAAGUUAUUCAUAUAGCCUGAAAAAAACUCUGCAAUGAACACGAAGAGAAGGGGAAAAGAUCGAACCUUCUUCAGGCGAUUUGGGACAUCACGACAGGAAGACCACGGGGAUUUGGUUGAUACGACUAGAUGACCGUCCAGUAGACCAGCUCCUCGACAGUGGGCUCCUUUUCACUCCCUUGCCGCUCCUCUGCGACAACUGCCGGAGCUGUCUCCUGGUCACGGAUGUUCUGCGCCUCCGUCACGACGAGGCAGCCGCGGUGGAAGGAAGAGGGAGAUGGGCCUCGCCGACGGCGCAGGGCGAGGCUGCGGUCCAGGAUCGCCGACGACCAACCAGCAGCCUCGGAGUCGUCGGCAAGAAGGAGAUCCGCGCAGCGAUCUCUCUUCUUCCCGGCGGGGUCGCGCAUCUGCGCCGGCUGGAC
Molecule: ribosomal RNA, 1058 nt
Filed under: Triticum aestivum (bread wheat)
Lineage: Eukaryota; Viridiplantae; Streptophyta; Magnoliopsida; Poales; Poaceae
Description: partial small subunit ribosomal RNA
Source: RNAcentral